GACGAACGCUGGCGGCGUGCUUAACACAUGCAAGUCGAACGGAAAGGCCCUGCUUUUGUGGGGUGCUCGAGUGGCGAACGGGUGAAUAACACGUGAGUAACCUGCCCUUGACUUUGGGAUAACUUCAGGAAACUGGGGCUAAUACCGGAUAGGAGCUCCUGCUGCAUGGUGGUGGUUGGAAAGUUUCGGCGGGUGGGGAUGGACUCGGGGCUUAUCCGCUUGUUGGUGGGGUAGUGGCUUACCAAGGCUUUGGCGGGUAGCCGGCCUGAGAGGGUGAGCGGCCACAUGGGGACUGAGAUACGGCCCAGACUCCUACGGGAGGCAGCAGUGGGGAAUAUUGCACAAUGGGCGGAAGCCUGAUGCAGCAACGCGGCGUGCGGGAUGACGGCCUUCGGGUUGUAAACCGCUUUCGCCUGUGACGAAGCGGGAGUGACGGUAAUGGGUAAAGAAGCACCGGCUAACUACGUG
Molecule: ribosomal RNA, 468 nt
Filed under: uncultured bacterium
Lineage: Bacteria
Description: partial 16S ribosomal RNA
Rfam family: Bacterial small subunit ribosomal RNA
Source: RNAcentral